Non-coding RNA from Sorangium cellulosum, 465 nucleotides. It matches the Rfam family "Bacterial RNase P class A". From Rfam's summary of the family: Ribonuclease P (RNase P) is a ubiquitous endoribonuclease, found in archaea, bacteria and eukarya as well as chloroplasts and mitochondria. Its best characterised activity is the generation of mature 5'-ends of tRNAs by cleaving the 5'-leader elements of precursor-tRNAs. Lineage: Bacteria; Pseudomonadati; Myxococcota; Polyangiales; Polyangiaceae. The record is from Rfam.
GCAGCGGGACAGGCGAUCGCCGGCGGACGGGGAAACCCGGCCGCGGGAGGAAAGUCCGAGCUCCGCAGGGCAGGGUGCCGGGUAACGCCCGGUGAGAGCGAUCUCGAGGAAAGUGCAACAGAGAACAGACCGCCGCGCCGCGCGCUUCGCAAGGGCAACGAGCCUCCAGCCCGGAUGGGCUGGGCUCCGAGCCUCCGCUGGCUCGCCGCGCGGCAAGGGUGAAACGGCGGGGUAAGAGCCCACCGCGCCCUUGGCAACAAGGGCGGCACGGCAAACCCCACCUGGAGCAAGGCCGCGUAGGGAGGCGUCUGCGACGGCGACAGCCGCCGCGGCAAGGGCUGCCCGCCCCAGGCCUCCGGGUUGGCUGCUUGAGGCGCGUGGCGACGCGCGUCCUAGAGGAAUGAUCGCCGGCGCGAGGGGGGCGACUCCCCGCGCAACAGAACUCGGCUUACGUCUCCUGCGACC